GGGGCCGACUUGGUUUCGACUCCGUACGGUGAGCCAGGGGAAGCGUGCCGGUGCAGGCUGGAGACCACCGCAAGCGUCGCAGCAACCAAUUAAGCGCCGAGAACACUCAGCGCGACUACGCCCUCGCUGCCUAAUUCAGCGACCGCGUGUCUGUCAGACCGGGUAGGCCUCUGAUCCGGACCCUGGCAUCGUUUAGUGGGGCUUGCUCGCCGACUUGGUCGCAAGGGUCGGCGGGGACGCAUACUUGCGGCUGGGCCCGUCAUCCGGUCAUGUUCGACUGAACCGGAGGGCCGAGCAGAGACCACGCGCGAACUGCGCACGGAGAAGCCCUGGCGAGUUGGCGGAGGACCCGGGUUCAAUUCCCGGCGGCUCCACUC
This 377-nucleotide transfer-messenger RNA is filed under the name Corynebacterium freneyi. RNAcentral describes it as "Standard tmRNA". It matches the Rfam family "transfer-messenger RNA". Rfam says of the family: Bacterial tmRNA, also known as 10Sa RNA or SsrA, is named for its dual tRNA and mRNA-like properties. Its role is to liberate the mRNA from a stalled ribosome. The record is from RNAcentral. RNAcentral also lists the same sequence under 2 other names. Lineage: Bacteria; Bacillati; Actinomycetota; Actinomycetes; Mycobacteriales; Corynebacteriaceae.